CGGCGGCGGCGGCGGCGGCGGCGGCCUCCCGCGCGUGCGCUCAGCCCCUCCAGCCGCGGCGGGGGGGCUCUUCCUCCCUACCCUCCUCCCUUCGGUCGGGAGUGCGCAGCUCCCGUCUCCUUCCCGCCGCCCCUGGGCUUCCUCCAGAACUCACGGCGCGAGAGCAUUGCCUUUGGCUAAAGGAAGCUGCCUAGCCUAGAGAAAUGUAAGAUGUCAUGCUCCCUUUGGUGAUAGAUGACUGAAUAAUAUGAAGAUUGAAGCCCAACCAUCUUGUUUCAAGCUUUUCCUGGUGGCCUUAUCAAUAAUGUUGAUCAGUGUGAUGCCUGGGUGGCUCAGUUGGUUAAGUGUCUGCUUGGGCUCAGGUCAAUCACAAGGUCCUGGGAUCAAGUCCUGCAUCGGGCUCCUUGCUCAACAGGGAGACUGCCUCUCCCUCUGCCUGCCACUCCCCCUGCUUGUGCUCUCUC
Long non-coding RNA from Mirounga angustirostris (Northern elephant seal), 464 nucleotides. RefSeq lists it as uncharacterized. The transcript has 3 exons. NCBI's taxonomy places the organism in Eukaryota, Metazoa, Chordata, Mammalia, Carnivora, Phocidae. The record is from RefSeq and is a predicted model, not a curated record.